AGAGCAAAGAGAACACAGUGUCAGGAUGGCAUUUCAUAAUGAUAAGGAAAAAGCAAUUUGCUCAUCUAGGCUAAAAUGAUAGAAGAGAGGAAAUUCCUUGGUGCACUAAGAAUUCACCUCUAAGAAUGCUCAGGAUCUCCUUCUGGGGAACUCUAUUUAAGACAGGUGGAUGAAGAUAAGGAGCACACCAAGCAACAUAUAUUUCUGACAGCAUUACCCCAAGGAAUGGAAGGAACAAAGCUUCAGUGAUGCUGGGCUGCACUCCCGCACAACCUCUAAUUAACCUGGAAACUUGUGCUGUCUGCAUCAAAGGGCAGAGACUCUAAAGCGUAGAAAUCCAUAUCCAGCACCAUUCAACAGGGCUGCCGGGAUGACAAGCAUGACUCUUGUAAAUUCUGCUUGACACGUGGUGAUGAAGGAAGGUUUCAGAGACAAGAGGGGGACUAUACUGGCGUGUUGGAAUCAGAACAGACGCCGGGCACCUUUGAAUGUGCCACCAGGAGAACAAUCAUCUGCCUCUGGGGCUCUUCCUCGGCCUGAAGCUGGUAAUCGGUCCUGACAGUGAUUUCCUUAGGGGACUGGUCAGUCAGGCUGCCCAGCCGGCAAAUACUGAUAUGCAGUGUCUCCAUUUUAACUGACAGUUUGGUUUGUUUUUACUAUUCACAUGGCAGUAAGAUUCUUGCAUACUGAAAUAGUCCUGGAAGGGUGGGAUAGGCUGCCUGAAUGAAGUACAAACGUUUGCUCCUGAUCAAUCCAUCUUCCUCACUGCGGCCCAGCCACUGAACGUGCUAUUGCUCCCUGAAGAAUCCCUCAGUGUCCUGUGCUCAUGCCCGGCUCCUGGCUCUACUAAAUAUACAUCUCCGUCUUUUAUAACUGCGAUGGGGUCCAGAACAUGCUACUCCCAAAUAUGGAAACUUGGCAUACUGAAUAUUAAAAGCUGAAGGAAUUUGAGAAAUGGCAGAAGCAGGAAGGUCACUCUCACCCUCAUCCUUCUCCUCUGAAACAGGCCACAAAACCUAGGGAGGAUUUUCCGACCUUCCCCUGAAGCAGGUCAUAAGGCCCUCACUCAAGAGGUGUCCUGCCUCUACUGGAGGACGGGAACACACUUAUCUCUGAAGACAUGAGGUCGCUGAAGAGAAUGGCCUUAAGUUCCCUCCAGUUCAUUCCCAUUAGAGCGCACCCCCUUGUCUGGUUAUAUUUCUCCACUACUGUCCAUUCUUCAUCAAACU
Long non-coding RNA from Lemur catta (Ring-tailed lemur), 1229 nucleotides. RefSeq lists it as uncharacterized. The transcript has 4 exons. Lineage: Eukaryota; Metazoa; Chordata; Mammalia; Primates; Lemuridae. The record is from RefSeq and is a predicted model, not a curated record.